Molecule: ribosomal RNA, 461 nt
Filed under: uncultured bacterium
Lineage: Bacteria
Description: partial 16S ribosomal RNA
Rfam family: Bacterial small subunit ribosomal RNA
Source: RNAcentral
CCUACGGGUGGCUGCAGUGAGGAAUAUUGGUCAAUGGGCGCAAGCCUGAACCAGCCAAGUCGCGUGAGGGAUGACGGUCCUAUGGAUUGUAAACCUCUUUUGUCGGGGAGCAAGGCCCGCCACGUGUGGCGGGAAGGAGAGUACCCGAAGAAAAAGCAUCGGCUAACUCCGUGCCAGCAGCCGCGGUAAUACGGAGGAUGCGAGCGUUAAUCGGAAUUACUGGGCGUAAAGCGCUCGUAGGCGGUAUGUCAAGUCAAGGGUGAAAUCCCCGCGCUCAACGUGGGAACUGCCUUUGAAACUGGCAAACUGGAGUGUGUGAGAGGAUAGUGGAAUUCCAGGUGUAGGGGUGAAAUCCGUAGAUAUCUGGAGGAACAUCAGUGGCGAAGGCGACUAUCUGGCACAUAACUGACGCUGAGGAGCGAAAGCGUGGGUAGCAAACAGGAUUAGAUACCCUAGUAGUC